This is a long non-coding RNA of Erigeron canadensis, 841 nucleotides long. RefSeq lists it as uncharacterized. Lineage: Eukaryota; Viridiplantae; Streptophyta; Magnoliopsida; Asterales; Asteraceae. The record is from RefSeq and is a predicted model, not a curated record. The transcript has 2 exons.
UAAAAACAUAAAAAGCUUUGGCCUUAUUCUCUUUUAUCUCUUACUGUCUCUGAUAUCAACAACUUUUUGGUUAUGAAGCAGCGAGUUUGGACAAACCAGGAGCAGGUUCUGGUCGAUGGGUUUUUACUACAUUGACAAGUGGCUGUGAAGAGUGAAGCACACAUCCCUGAGUGUAAAAGGCGUACUGAGAUGCAUGAAAGCCUGCAAUUAUACAUCGGUGACAGGAGUGAAAUCCAUCUUUGCUGUUUCUAUUUCGACGACGCCUUUACCACAGCAGCAGAGACAUGGAUUAGAGGACAAAAAACGGCUUUGCUUGUAAUUGAUGCUUUAGUAUAGAAUUCUCAUUUGGUUGUUACUGUUAUCGAUGAAUACUCGUAGAGGUGGCAAUAGUUGCCCAAAAACAAUUGAUUGGGUGAUUUUGGAUCAUUUUCCAUUCAUUUUGGGUGUGAAUGGGUGGUAGUGAUUAUAUUGGAAUGGGUGAUUUGAAAAUAUAUUCAUAAAAACUCUGGAUCUAAUUGGGUAAAGAUCUUAGCCUGGACGGGUUAGAAUGGGCAAAAUACGGUUGAAUGAAAAAAGAAUUUUAGAAGGAUGAUUUCAAUCCCAAAGUCAGGUAUAUGGAUAUGGUGGUGGUGAAAGUUGAAACAGCUGUGUGGAUAUUUAAAACAUUUGCUAUUUCCAGAUUUAAAAUUGUCAAGUUUAGGAAAAGUGUACUACAGUAAAUUGUACAUUGUGAAAAUAAAUCUGUACAUUAAUUUGGUGAAAGAAAUAUAUUACAAGCCAGACUGAAAUGAAGAAAAAAGAAUACGAAUAGAAAGUUGGAAUGGACAAGAAUUUGAUGAAA